Molecule: ribosomal RNA, 465 nt
Filed under: Vreelandella stevensii
Lineage: Bacteria; Pseudomonadati; Pseudomonadota; Gammaproteobacteria; Oceanospirillales; Halomonadaceae
Description: partial 16S ribosomal RNA
Rfam family: Bacterial small subunit ribosomal RNA
Source: RNAcentral
CCUACGGGGGGCUGCAGUGGGGAAUAUUGGACAAUGGGGGGAACCCUGAUCCAGCCAUGCCGCGUGUGUGAAGAAGGCCCUCGGGUUGUAAAGCACUUUCAGUGAGGAAGAACGCCUGGUGGUUAAUACCCAUCAGGAAAGACAUCACUCACAGAAGAAGCACCGGCUAACUCCGUGCCAACAGCCGCGGUAAUACGGAGGGUGCGAGCGUUAAUCGGAAUUACUGGGCGUAAAGCGCGCGUAGGUGGCUUGAUAAGCCGGUUGUGAAAGCCCCGGGCUCAACCUGGGAACGGCAUCCGGAACUGUCAAGCUAGAGUGCAGGAGAGGAAGGUAGAAUUCCCGGUGUAGCGGUGAAAUGCGUAGAGAUCGGGAGGAAUACCAGUGGCGAAGGCGGCCUUCUGGACUGACACUGACACUGAGGUGCGAAAGCGUGGGUAGCAAACAGGAUUAGAUACCCCUGUAGUC